GUACUUGUGGCCUAGUGGUCAUGGCAUCUGCCCGGUAAGCGGAAGGUCGUGGGUGACCAAAAUCUAUCCGUAAACU
This is a non-coding RNA of Cordylochernes scorpioides, 76 nucleotides long. Lineage: Eukaryota; Metazoa; Arthropoda; Arachnida; Pseudoscorpiones; Chernetidae. The record is from the annotation of a GenBank genome assembly.